Non-coding RNA from Pelobates cultripes (western spadefoot toad), 239 nucleotides. The record is from the annotation of a GenBank genome assembly. Lineage: Eukaryota; Metazoa; Chordata; Amphibia; Anura; Pelobatidae.
AGGAGACGCACCUCCGCAGGUCGGCGCCCACUAGACUGACUGACAGGACCUACUCGACAGUACAUGAGGCACGCUCCCUCCGUAAGCGACCGGGGGUGGCGAUCCUCAUCCAUAAAAACUGCCCGCUACAAAUAACUACCACCCAGACUGACCCGGAGGGGAGAUUUCUAUAUAUAUAGGAGGCACCCUCUACACCACAAAAAUACAUCUCAUCAACGUCUACGCGCCCAACGAGCUGG